RNAcentral lists this ribosomal RNA (468 nucleotides) under uncultured Polaromonas sp. RNAcentral's name for it is "bacterial SSU rRNA". It matches the Rfam family "Bacterial small subunit ribosomal RNA", at positions 916 to 1381 of the family's 1533-position model. Lineage: Bacteria; Pseudomonadati; Pseudomonadota; Betaproteobacteria; Burkholderiales; Comamonadaceae. The record is from RNAcentral.
ACGGGACCCGCACAAGCGGUGGAUGAUGUGGUUUAAUUCGAUGCAACGCGAAAAACCUUACCUACCUUUGACGUGUACGGAAUUCGCCAGAGAUGGCUUAGUGCUCGAAAGAGAACCGUAACACAGGUGCUGCAUGGCUGUCGUCAGCUCGUGUCGUGAGAUGUUGGGUUAAGUCCCGCAACGAGCGCAACCCUUGUCAUUAGUUGCUACAUUUAGUUGGGCACUCUAAUGAGACUGCCGGUGACAAACCGGAGGAAGGUGGGGAUGACGUCAAGUCCUCAUGGCCCUUAUAGGUAGGGCUACACACGUCAUACAAUGGAUGGUACAAAGGGUCGCCAACCCGCGAGGGGGAGCCAAUCCCAUAAAACCAUUCGUAGUCCGGAUCGCAGUCUGCAACUCGACUGCGUGAAGUCGGAAUCGCUAGUAAUCGUGGAUCAGAAUGUCACGGUGAAUACGUUCCCGGGUCUU